GAUUGAACGCUGGCGGCAGGCCUAACACAUGCAAGUCGAACGGUAACAGGAAGCAGCUUGCUGCUUUGCUGACGAGUGGCGGACGGGUGAGUAAUGUCUGGGAAACUGCCUGAUGGAGGGGGAUAACUACUGGAAACGGUGGCUAAUACCGCAUAACGUCGCAAGACCAAAGAGGGGGACCUUCGGGCCUCUUGCCAUCAGAUGUGCCCAGAUGGGAUUAGCUUGUUGGUGAGGUAACGGCUCACCAAGGCGACGAUCCCUAGCUGGUCUGAGAGGAUGACCAGCCACACUGGAACUGAGACACGGUCCAGACUCCUACGGGAGGCAGCAGUGGGGAAUAUUGCACAAUGGGCGCAAGCCUGAUGCAGCCAUGCCGCGUGUAUGAAGAAGGCCUUCGGGUUGUAAAGUACUUUCAGCGGGGAGGAAGGUGUUGUGGUUAAUAACCACAGCAAUUGACGUUACCCGCAGAAGAAGCACCGGCUAACUCCGUGCCAGCAGCCGCGGUAAUACGGAGGGUGCAAGCGUUAAUCGGAAUUACUGGGCGUAAAGCGCACGCAGGCGGUCUGUCAAGUCGGAUGUGAAAUCCCCGGGCUCAACCUGGGAACUGCAUUCGAAACUGGCAGGCUUGAGUCUUGUAGAGGGGGGUAGAAUUCCAGGUGUAGCGGUGAAAUGCGUAGAGAUCUGGAGGAAUACCGGUGGCGAAGGCGGCCCCCUGGACAAAGACUGACGCUCAGGUGCGAAAGCGUGGGGAGCAAACAGGAUUAGAUACCCUGGUAGUCCACGCCGUAAACGAUGUCUACUUGGAGGUUGUGCCCUUGAGGCGUGGCUUCCGGAGCUAACGCGUUAAGUAGACCGCCUGGGGAGUACGGCCGCAAGGUUAAAACUCAAAUGAAUUGACGGGGGCCCGCACAAGCGGUGGAGCAUGUGGUUUAAUUCGAUGCAACGCGAAGAACCUUACCUGGUCUUGACAUCCACAGAACUUUCCAGAGAUGGAUUGGUGCCUUCGGGAACUGUGAGACAGGUGCUGCAUGGCUGUCGUCAGCUCGUGUUGUGAAAUGUUGGGUUAAGUCCCGCAACGAGCGCAACCCUUAUCCUUUGUUGCCAGCGGUCCGGCCGGGAACUCAAAGGAGACUGCCAGUGAUAAACUGGAGGAAGGUGGGGAUGACGUCAAGUCAUCAUGGCCCUUACGACCAGGGCUACACACGUGCUACAAUGGCGCAUACAAAGAGAAGCGACCUCGCGAGAGCAAGCGGACCUCAUAAAGUGCGUCGUAGUCCGGAUUGGAGUCUGCAACUCGACUCCAUGAAGUCGGAAUCGCUAGUAAUCGUGGAUCAGAAUGCCACGGUGAAUACGUUCCCGGGCCUUGUACACACCGCCCGUCACACCAUGGGAGUGGGUUGCAAAAGAAGUAGGUAGCUUAACCUUCGGGAGGGCGCUUACCACUUUGUGAUUCAUGACUGGGGUGAAGUCGUAACAAGGUAACCGUAGGGGAACCUGCGGUUGGAUCACCUCCUUACCUUAAAGAAGC
This 1528-nucleotide ribosomal RNA is filed under the name Salmonella enterica subsp. enterica serovar Reading. Its description in RNAcentral is "bacterial SSU rRNA". It matches the Rfam family "Bacterial small subunit ribosomal RNA". Lineage: Bacteria; Pseudomonadati; Pseudomonadota; Gammaproteobacteria; Enterobacterales; Enterobacteriaceae. The record is from RNAcentral.